GUUUUCCCUGCCACAGGUAGCAGCUUCCCCUACCACUGGUUCCUUGUCGACAUCUUGCACUGGUGACCAACGACGAAGGAGUUGAUGGGUAUUUAUGCUCUCUGAUUCACAAAGUGAGUGGCCCAAUUCUCUUGAAGUUAAGGGUCGAGU
Molecule: long non-coding RNA, 150 nt
Organism: Ipomoea nil (Japanese morning glory)
Lineage: Eukaryota; Viridiplantae; Streptophyta; Magnoliopsida; Solanales; Convolvulaceae
Exons: 3
Source: RefSeq, a predicted model, not a curated record